GUGGGGAAUAUUGGACAAUGGGCGCAAGCCUGAUCCAGCAAUGCCGCGUGAGUGAAGAAGGCCUUAGGGUUGUAAAGCUCUUUCGGCGGGGACGAUGAUGACGGUACCCGCAGAAGAAGCCCCGGCUAACUCCGUGCCAGCAGCCGCGGUAAUACGGAGGGGGCUAGCGUUGUUCGGAAUUACUGGGCGUAAAGGGCGCGUAGGCGGCGCGAUAAGUUGGGCGUGAAAGGCCCGGGCUCAACCCGGGGACUGCGCUUGAUACUGUCGCGCUGUGAGUCCGGGAGAGGAUGGCGGAAUUCCCAGUGUAGAGGUGAAAUUCGUAGAUAUUGGGAAGAACACCGGUGGCGAAGGCGGCCAUCUGGACCGGCACUGACGCUGAGGCGCGAAAGCGUGGGGAGCAAACAGGAUUAGAAACCCGUGUAGUCC
Molecule: ribosomal RNA, 426 nt
Filed under: uncultured bacterium
Lineage: Bacteria
Description: bacterial SSU rRNA
Rfam family: Bacterial small subunit ribosomal RNA
Source: RNAcentral